CCGUACCUUGAGGUGAGGAAUACCACCGAGAAAUCGGUGACAAGACCGCAUACGCUCUCUCACGAGAGCAAAGCUUCUCUUCGGAGAGGCGCCCCAAGAUGGGCCUGCGCCUGAUUAGCUAGUUGGUGAGGUAACAGCUUACCAAGGCGACGAUCAGUAGCUGGUCUGAGAGGAUGAUCAGCCACACUGGGAUUGAGAACGGCCCAG
Molecule: ribosomal RNA, 207 nt
Filed under: uncultured bacterium
Lineage: Bacteria
Description: partial 16S ribosomal RNA
Rfam family: Bacterial small subunit ribosomal RNA
Source: RNAcentral